AGGCGUUUCUCCUUCAAGAGGCCAGGAUGGGUUUGGUGGAAAUCCCUCUGGAUCGUGCAGGGUGACUGGAAUGAAUGCGGACCCCUGAGUAUUGAAGACCGUGUUUGUAGGAUGCGACUCGACUUCCCUAGUGUGAGCCCCCAGCUGCUACUCCUGCCUGUCAAUCAGUAGCCUGAAUCCUGGCCGAACGCUGGAAUUGCCUGAUGAGCUUUUCAAAUACACCGGCUCCCAGACCGCACCUCCGGAGCGUCUGAUUUAAUUGGUCUGGGGUGGGAACCCAGCGUCGGAUUCUUUAAAACGUUCGCCCGUAGCCAGGGUUCCGAAGCCCUGCUUUAGAUCCACCUGGCUUCACACAGCAAGCGGAGGGACUCGGCUCUGUCAUCCCCUGCUCAGAACCCCAGGCUGCUUCCCCAGGCCUUUUCGGAGUCCAGGGCGAGGUCCCUCCGAGUGCCCGGAUGCUAGCCUGCUCUGGAGUCUUGUUUUUUCCCUUCUCCUCCGACAGGGAGCGGCCGCCAGCAGGAUUGGCGGCUUGUCUUUCCUGAGAACAGCGCGCCUGUUCACACCUCCAUAACUUUGCACACUCUGAUCUUGCAUCUGGAAUGCCCUUUCUCCCCAAGUCUGCAUGCAGGACCUUUUCCAAUUGAAAAAGCAACUGGGGAAAUAAAUCUAUGAAAACGUGAAAAAGUAGAGAAGAGGAAUUAUCAGUCGACCCUCUACUUCAAGACAACCAUCGUAAACAUUUUGGCUGCAAGACCCCCGCCCUCCUCCACCCCAUGUCUUCACCAGUAACUUCUACUCUUCAGCACCCAGGUCGUCAGAAGGCUGGACUGCAGCUCCGCUGGAAGUGCCUUAUUUGUCCUUGUGUAGUUACAAACUGGUGAGGCGUAGGAAGAGGGGAAAUCAAGGAUGGACGUCCCCAACCCAUUUGGGAACCUCAUCUGCACAUCUUGAAUUGAGAGGGUUGGAGCAGAUGUCAGACAACUGGUCUCAAUUUUGCCUCUCAUACCUCUUCCUCAUGCAAGCCCCCGUCACUUGGCUAGACCAAGCCACACAAGAGGACGGACCCUCACCUCUCACCGGUCCUUGAGAUGCCUAGACAAGAAGCUUGGCUGCAGCCACAGCAUUGUUCUCCUCCCAGCCUCCAAAGAACCCAGGGCUCUCAAAGCAAAGUGUUCUUCCUCCCGAUGGGACCAGAUGGGCUGUCCAGAUAGUUUCCAUUUGCCAUCUCAAGUAAAACACCAAGAUGCUACAAAAAGAAGCCUGGCUUUUCCAUCUCGCUCCUCAACUUAGCAUGUGGACCUCAAAUUAUUCCCAGUGCCAAUCCUUUGAGAAAACGAACCGUUGAAAGAGCCAGGGGGGAAGGGAGAAGGAAAAAAAGAACACGUGAGCUCUUUCUAAAGAAAUCUGAAGGGCAGUAGGUGGAGGAAACGACCAUGUUUGCUCCAUCCUCUUGGUGUGAUGGUCAAGGGCACGGGUUUUGCUGAAGCCAGGUGCCCAUCCCAGCUGUCCCUCUUUUAUCCAUGUGACUCUGGGCAGAGCAUUCCACUGCUCUGAGUCUGUUUCCUCGACUCCUAAAAAAAGGAUAAUUAUGCUUACAUUCAAGACUUGCUUUGAAGAUGAAGUGACAUAAUACAUGAAGCAUUUGGGACUCAUAAUCAGUUAUCAGUAGACUUUAGCUGUUAUUAUUUUAUUAUUAUCAACAACUAUAAAGGGGAGAAAGGCAGACUCUUGCUUAGCAGAGCAGGAAACUUUUUAAAAAAUUGCUAGAGCUCGUCAAAGAGGGCAGAACAAUCUUUUGAGAUUAUCAGCAUUCCAGACUUCAGACCUUGAAAUAUCAACAGGAUGACCAUCUCUCAGGGAUGUUGUAGAGGAGAUUCCCACUUUGUGGGUCCUUCUGUGAGGGAUGCCAGAGGAAGGGCAGUGUAUUAAAUCAUCAGAGAUGCCCCUUAGCCACCAGAUACUCUGAAACUGUGCUACUAUUCUAAGAGCUUACCCACAUUCUGAUCUUUGGAGAUAGUUUGGUGUCAUUCCUUCCUUCCUUUCAUCUAUCCAUCGAUCCAUCGAUCCAUCGAUCCAUCCAUCCAUCUACCCAUCUACCCACCUCUCUAUCUACCUACCUACCUACCUGGCUAUCAUCUUAGGAGUUAAACCUGAAAGUUCCGGAUGAUAGCAUUUCUUGGGCUGGUGGAAGAUCCUCUGAGUCUUUAUCUGAUGGAAUUUUGAAUCUUUGUUGAUGCUGAUAAUGCCCAAUUAAGAAGUCAGCUCUUCCUAUCCCUUCAAUCCAUUCCCAUUAGCAUCUUAUUGUCAUGGGAGAACCUGAGCUCUUUGGGCAUAUAGAUCUGGGUUUGAAUCCCUCUUAGCUGGCUGAGUGACCUUCAGUAGGUUAUUU
Equus caballus (horse) is the source of this 2389-nucleotide long non-coding RNA. NCBI's taxonomy places the organism in Eukaryota, Metazoa, Chordata, Mammalia, Perissodactyla, Equidae. The record is from Ensembl.